GCAGAAUCUUGUGUGCUUGCUGCGUGGUGUCCUCCCAUGCAGUUGCACGAAAUCAUUCUUUUAUUCCUGAUCCUGUUUCCUGUUUAUUUCAUGAACUUGUCUGUAGGCAGCAUGGUGCUGGGCGCUGCAGGGGCUCAUUAAUGCGUGAGACACAGAUUCCACUCAGGAGAGAGAAGACGAACACAGACACAGUACACAGUGGGAAGGGGCACUGCCAUGUCUGCAGCCAGAGAGCCCUUUCAGAAUCUGACCCAAAAGAUGGCCAGUGUUCUAAGAAAAAGCACAUAUGCUUACGAUGUGCAAACAGCUGAAGGUGUUCUUUCAACUAUAGUAAAAGGGGUGUCUCGGUGGCCACAGGCGGCCCAGAUGAAGAGACCUGUCUGGGCCGCAGAGAGAAGAGGAGUCUGGAGGCCCCCCGAGCCAGGCUGAGCCAGCCGCUAGGGGCACGGAGCAGUGCCCACCUUGCGCCCAGUGUGGCCAGAGCUUCGGCCGGAAGGAGCUCAGUGCGCCGCACCAGCGCGUGCAUCGUGGCCCCCGGCCUUUCGCUGGUGCUCAGUGUCCCAAGAGCUUCACGCAGCGGACCACCCCCGCCAGCCACCGUCGGGCGCACGUGGCCGAGUGCACCUACACCCGCGCCCAAUGCGGCAAGACCUUCCUCCAGCAGUCGACGCUCACACCCACUACUGCGCGCACAUCGGGGAGAAGCCCUACGAGUGCGUCAAGCUCUUUGGCCGCCUGUCCACGCUGCUGGAGCACCGGCACACGCACACGGGUUCCCAUGAUCAGUGGUGAAAUAUAGUGAUUUUCACCUGUGCUUCCAUUCUGAAGUUCUGGAAAGAAGUACUGGAUGGACUGAAGUCCAGGACAACGUCCCAAAGAAAGGCAGAGUCCAGGUGGGCUUGGAGGACCAAGCCCUGGAUGAGCACUGGAGGGCAGAGGCCUCAGUGUCCAGCACUGUGCCCUGCACAUGGAAAGCCCCUACGUUUGUGGAAUGAAUGAAUA
Molecule: long non-coding RNA, 1002 nt
Filed under: Pan troglodytes (chimpanzee)
Lineage: Eukaryota; Metazoa; Chordata; Mammalia; Primates; Hominidae
Description: long non-coding RNA NONPTRT015929
Source: RNAcentral